This is a non-coding RNA of Pangasianodon gigas (Mekong giant catfish), 72 nucleotides long. The record is from the annotation of a GenBank genome assembly. NCBI's taxonomy places the organism in Eukaryota, Metazoa, Chordata, Actinopteri, Siluriformes, Pangasiidae.
UUCUAAGACACAGAAACCCUCAACACCCCGAACGCCGUAAAUCCCCAACGUUCCAAACGCCACAACAACUCA